RNAcentral lists this ribosomal RNA (110 nucleotides) under Helianthus annuus (common sunflower). The record is from RNAcentral. Lineage: Eukaryota; Viridiplantae; Streptophyta; Magnoliopsida; Asterales; Asteraceae.
UGUUUUGGGCUUAAUGCUACUGGAUGAGAGGAUAACUCCAUAGUUAAGCGUGCUCAGGUGGGACUAGUACCAGUAUGAGUGACCUCCUGGGAAGUCCCCAUCCGGGGCAA